Molecule: long non-coding RNA, 441 nt
Organism: Leopardus geoffroyi (Geoffroy's cat)
Lineage: Eukaryota; Metazoa; Chordata; Mammalia; Carnivora; Felidae
Exons: 3
Source: RefSeq, a predicted model, not a curated record
ACAACACCCAACAGACUGAAAGUGGAAUCAUGCUCGGCAGCCAGUGCCAUGAGGAGGAUCACAGCAGCAGAGCCACCAGAAAGAGUCUAGGAGGAGUCACCGCUUACCACCCUGAUAAAGAGUGUAAGUCUUGGAGGAGUCAUGUGAACAGAUACCUGCUUGCCUCGCCUCUGCCAGCUGAUCACCGAAACGUCGCCUUUCUCAACUGAGACCCCCAUGGCCACCCUCAACGAGAAACCACGACCCCAUCCCAGCCCCCAACAGUCCUACUGCACCCCCUCCCCUGAUGUAUUUUAUUUAUAUAGUUCCGUCUCAUUAGCUUACACCCCCAUCUACCCUAUCCCUUGAUCCCCAAAAAUGUAUUCGGUCUCAGAGUUCAGAGAGUAAAAGGGGGAUAAUAGGAAGGUAUAAUAUAUUAUCCAAACCUAACUGAUUCCUGAG